RNAcentral lists this ribosomal RNA (380 nucleotides) under uncultured bacterium. RNAcentral's name for it is "partial 16S ribosomal RNA". It matches the Rfam family "Bacterial small subunit ribosomal RNA", at positions 355 to 722 of the family's 1533-position model. The record is from RNAcentral.
UGGGGAAUUUUGGACAAUGGGCGAAAGCCUGAUCCAGCAAUGCCGCGUGUGUGAAGAAGGCCUUCGGGUUGUAAAGCACUUUUGUCCGGAAAGAAAUCCUUGGCUCUAAUACAGUCGGGGGAUGACGGUACCGGAAGAAUAAGCACCGGCUAACUACGUGCCAGCAGCCGCGGUAAUACGUAGGGUGCAAGCGUUAAUCGGAAUUACUGGGCGUAAAGCGUGCGCAGGCGGUUUGCUAAGACCGAUGUGAAAUCCCCGGGGCUCAACCUGGGAACUGCAUUUGGUGACUGGGCAGGCUAAGACGUAUGGCAGAGGGGGGUAGAAUUCCACGUGUAGCAGUGAAAUGCGUAGAGAUGUGGAGGAAUACCGAUGGCGAAGGC